AAAAGCAACUGCCAGCAAGAAGAGGACACCAGACAGGACACAAGCAAAGAGACGAUGGCCCGCACCAAGCAAACCGC
Molecule: non-coding RNA, 77 nt
Filed under: uncultured Pelagophyceae
Lineage: Eukaryota; Pelagophyceae
Source: RNAcentral